Molecule: long non-coding RNA, 667 nt
Organism: Drosophila ficusphila
Lineage: Eukaryota; Metazoa; Arthropoda; Insecta; Diptera; Drosophilidae
Exons: 2
Source: RefSeq, a predicted model, not a curated record
UAAAGAAGAAGUGAGAUAAUAUUAAUUUUUUUGAUUAAAUCUUAAACCUAAUAUUUAUACCCUUUAAGAAGGUAUUAUAAGUUAAGUCAAAAGAUUGGAACGCAGUGAAAGAAACUUCUCAGUCCCCAUAAAUCUUCUUGACCAGCAUCGCCAUCUGAAUUUAUUUAGGCUUGUUCGUCAGUCCGUCUGUCUGUUUAUACCCAAAACCAAGUCUUCUGGAAAGGCUUAUUGAACCUUUGCCAAAAGCCCUGUAGCUUUAGUAGGACAAUGCAUACAUGUAUACAUAUAUGUCGGAACUAGAGCUGGAAAACAAUCGAUGGCACUAUCGAUACCAUCGAUGUUUUUAAAAUUUUCUAAACAUCGAUGGUUCGUUGGCCACUAUCGAUUGUUUUCAUUAAUUCUGUGCAUUGAGGACAACGUGUAAGUAAAAUGGGUUUUGUGUCGCAUUAUUUUAAUUAUAUUAAAUAUUUAAUCACAUGUAGUGAAAAUAUAAAUUCCUUGGAAGCAAGUGGUGGUGCUGGUUGUAGGCGUGGUGCUACAAAAUGGAUAAGUUUGUAAAAAACAGAUUGUGUCUGACAGGAGAUGCGCACUAAAACCCAACAUUGUGGACAAACUUUUGUUCCUAAACAAAAAUAGUGAUCUUUAAUAAAAAUCUCGUUAAUUGUUA